UGCAUCAGUAAAGAUCACACUGUUACAAAAGCCUGCAUUUUCAGCAGUACACAACUGCAACUCUACAUAAAUGCCACAGAUGCAGAAUACUGUUUUCUUGCUCUAUUUACACAGCUGAUAUACCUAUUCUAACGAAGGAGGGAGAGGAGUAAUGCACAAGAAACUCAGGCCAAUGGGGGAGCAAGAAGAAAACGAAGAAGUGCAGUGCAUGCGUCAUCGGUGUUUAACAGUCAGAAGCGAAACAGUUCAGAACAAGGCCUGCCCUGUCAAAAGAAGAGCUAAAGACAGUUAUAUAAAAAUUAAGGUGGGCUUUCAGACUGGCUAACACAACAACAUUCCAUGAGUAGAUGAAUAACUCAAUCUCAGUGUGACUACUGAUCCGCCGCCACGUGGCUUCC
This 398-nucleotide long non-coding RNA is filed under the name Homo sapiens (human). RNAcentral's name for it is "non-protein coding STARD4-AS1:2". The record is from RNAcentral. Lineage: Eukaryota; Metazoa; Chordata; Mammalia; Primates; Hominidae.